Long non-coding RNA from Hibiscus syriacus, 344 nucleotides. RefSeq lists it as uncharacterized. The transcript has 3 exons. The record is from RefSeq and is a predicted model, not a curated record. NCBI's taxonomy places the organism in Eukaryota, Viridiplantae, Streptophyta, Magnoliopsida, Malvales, Malvaceae.
AUGUGAAUGCAUCUUGAUUAGAUUUUUAGCCGACGAAAACGAUCUAGGUGAUCGUCCGCUACCCACACCAAGGCUCACGGAAGUAAGUUUUGUCCUCCAUGAACUGGCUGACCUGGUGGUUCAUGCAGACACUGCGUCUAUUUUUUUCUCUAUGCCCGCAUCUGAAAACUGGCCUAGCUGAGGGGAACCGCAAAAACCGAUCACAUCUGCUGCUUCUUUUCCCCACCCUCUGUGAACUAGUUGUAUCAAGGGAAGCUAGAGUGAGAGAGUUGGUACCAGUUUUGCUCAAACUCAUCGCCGAGGAACUCACAUUAGAAAAGGUUAUCACUAGCUCUUGAGAACAA